This 738-nucleotide ribosomal RNA is filed under the name Lentilactobacillus buchneri. RNAcentral's name for it is "bacterial SSU rRNA". It matches the Rfam family "Bacterial small subunit ribosomal RNA", at positions 42 to 762 of the family's 1533-position model. Lineage: Bacteria; Bacillati; Bacillota; Bacilli; Lactobacillales; Lactobacillaceae. The record is from RNAcentral.
GCGUCUCCGUUAAUGAUUUUAGGUGCUUGCACUUGAAAGAUUUAACAUUGAGACGAGUGGCGAACUGGUGAGUAACACGUGGGUAACCUGCCCUUGAAGUAGGGGAUAACACUUGGAAACAGGUGCUAAUACCGUAUAACAACCAAAACCACCUGGUUUUGGUUUAAAAGACGGCUUCGGCUGUCACUUUAGGAUGGACCCGCGGCGUAUUAGCUUGUUGGUAAGGUAACGGCUUACCAAGGCGAUGAUACGUAGCCGACCUGAGAGGGUAAUCGGCCACAUUGGGACUGAGACACGGCCCAAACUCCUACGGGAGGCAGCAGUAGGGAAUCUUCCACAAUGGACGAAAGUCUGAUGGAGCAACGCCGCGUGAGUGAUGAAGGGUUUCGGCUCGUAAAACUCUGUUGUUGGAGAAGAACAGGUGUCAGAGUAACUGUUGACAUCUUGACGGUAUCCAACCAGAAAGCCACGGCUAACUACGUGCCAGCAGCCGCGGUAAUACGUAGGUGGCAAGCGUUGUCCGGAUUUAUUGGGCGUAAAGCGAGCGCAGGCGGUUUUUUAGGUCUGAUGUGAAAGCCUUCGGCUUAACCGGAGAAGUGCAUCGGAAACCGGGAGACUUGAGUGCAGAAGAGGACAGUGGAACUCCAUGUGUAGCGGUGAAAUGCGUAGAUAUAUGGAAGAACACCAGUGGCGAAGGCGGCUGUCUGGUCUGUAACUGACGCUGAGGCUCGAAAGCAU